GAGGAUGUAGCUCAGUGGUAAAGCACUUGCAUAGCACGCAGGAUGCCCUGGGUUCAAUCCCUAGCACCACA
This 71-nucleotide transfer RNA is filed under the name Ictidomys tridecemlineatus (thirteen-lined ground squirrel). Its description in RNAcentral is "Spermophilus tridecemlineatus (thirteen-lined ground squirrel) tRNA". It matches the Rfam family "tRNA". From Rfam's summary of the family: Transfer RNA (tRNA) molecules are approximately 80 nucleotides in length. The record is from Rfam by way of RNAcentral. Lineage: Eukaryota; Metazoa; Chordata; Mammalia; Rodentia; Sciuridae.